RNAcentral lists this ribosomal RNA (253 nucleotides) under uncultured bacterium. Its description in RNAcentral is "partial 16S ribosomal RNA". It matches the Rfam family "Bacterial small subunit ribosomal RNA", at positions 524 to 776 of the family's 1533-position model. The record is from RNAcentral.
UACAGAGGGGGCAAGCGUUGUCCGGAAUCAUUGGGCGUAAAGCGCGCGUAGGCGGCCCUGUAAGUCCGUUGUGAAAGUCGAAGGCUCAACCUUCGAAAGCCGAUGGAUACUGCAGGGCUAGAGUCCGGAAGAGGCGAGUGGAAUUCCUGGUGUAGCGGUGGAAUGCGCAGAUAUCAGGAGGAACACCAAUAGCGAAGGCAGCUCGCUGGGACGGUACUAACGCUAAGGCGCGAAGGCCAGGGGAGCAAACGGG